Molecule: ribosomal RNA, 345 nt
Filed under: Demodex brevis
Lineage: Eukaryota; Metazoa; Arthropoda; Arachnida; Trombidiformes; Demodicidae
Description: partial 18S ribosomal RNA
Rfam family: Eukaryotic small subunit ribosomal RNA
Source: RNAcentral
GCGUAUAUUAAAGUUGCUGCGUUUAAAAAGCUCGUAGUUGUAUCUCAGUUCAUGUUAUUGGGUCAACCACUAAAUAGCGAUUACUUAAUGACUGAACAUUGAACCGAUUUGUUUUUUAAUGCUCUUUACCGAGUGUUUUUAACGAUCGGGCUGUUUACUUUGAAAAAAUUAGAGUGCUCAAAGCAGGCAUAUCGCCUAAAUAAUCUUGCAUGGAAUAAUGGAAUAUGAACUAGGUUCUAUUCUGUUGGUCUUUUGAACCUAAGUUAAUGAUUAAAAGGGACAGACGGGGGCAUUUGUACUGCGGCGCUAGAGGUGAAAUUCUUGGACCGUCGCAAGACGAACUAC